RNAcentral lists this unclassified non-coding RNA (208 nucleotides) under Hevea brasiliensis (rubber tree). The record is from RNAcentral. Lineage: Eukaryota; Viridiplantae; Streptophyta; Magnoliopsida; Malpighiales; Euphorbiaceae.
GGGUAAGGUCUUUGUAUGCGCUGCCCUUCUCUUACCUCAAUUAUGAGAUUUACUGUUUAUGUUGUUUUACGUCUUAACUCAUUGUACGAUAGUUGUUAAGAAUCUCACAAUAGAUCCUUGCUUAUAUCUUGAAAUUGAUACGAGUUUAGUUAUUUUCCGUUAGGUCGACUCUUCAUCGAUAAAACUAUUGUCUUAGAUUGUGUAAACC